RNAcentral lists this RNase P RNA (405 nucleotides) under Nostocales cyanobacterium HT-58-2. RNAcentral describes it as "Bacterial RNase P class A". It matches the Rfam family "Bacterial RNase P class A". Rfam says of the family: Ribonuclease P (RNase P) is a ubiquitous endoribonuclease, found in archaea, bacteria and eukarya as well as chloroplasts and mitochondria. Its best characterised activity is the generation of mature 5'-ends of tRNAs by cleaving the 5'-leader elements of precursor-tRNAs. Cellular RNase Ps are ribonucleoproteins. The record is from Rfam by way of RNAcentral. Lineage: Bacteria; Bacillati; Cyanobacteriota; Cyanophyceae; Nostocales.
AGAGUUGGCAUAGGCGGUUGCAGAUCAGUUUCAUUGAGGCUGGUUUGAGGAAAGUCCGGGCUCCCGAAAGACCAAACUUGCUGGGUAACGCCCAGUGCGAGCGAUCGCGAGGAGAGUGCCACAGAAACAUACCGCCAAUUUUAGUCAUUAGACAAAAUUGGUAAGGGUGCAAAGGUGCGGUAAGAGCGCACCAGCACGACCGAGAGGUCGUGGCUCGGUAAACCCCGGUUGGGAGCAAGGUCAAGGAACUACGGUUGGUCUUUUACCAGUUCCGCUAAACAAGAGCCGCUAGAGGCGUUUGGUGACAAACGUCCCAGAUAGAUAACCGCCCUCUUUAUGUGAAAACGCAUUAUGCUAUGUUUUUGCAAAAGAAGUACAGAACCCGGCUUAUUCCUAACUCUCUCC